RNAcentral lists this non-coding RNA (29 nucleotides) under Homo sapiens (human). The record is from RNAcentral. Lineage: Eukaryota; Metazoa; Chordata; Mammalia; Primates; Hominidae.
CUACAAUCAAUUCCAUAGGUAAGGUGGCC